RNAcentral lists this unclassified non-coding RNA (390 nucleotides) under soil metagenome. RNAcentral describes it as "partial contains 5.8S ribosomal RNA, internal transcribed spacer 2, and large subunit ribosomal RNA". The stretch from base 1 to 122 matches the Rfam family "5.8S ribosomal RNA", at positions 35 to 154 of the family's 154-position model. The record is from RNAcentral.
GAUGAAGAACGUAGCGAAAUGCGAUACUUGGUGUGAAUUGCAGAAUCCCGUGAACCAUCGAGUCUUUGAACGCAAGUUGCGCCCGAAGCCAUUAGGCCGAGGGCACGCCUGCCUGGGUGUCACACGUCGUUGCCCCCCCAUCUACUCCUUCGGGAUUGCGGGGGGCGGAUGAUGGCCUCCCGUGCGCCUCGUCGCGCGGUUGGCAUAAAUGCCAAGUCCUCGGCGACGCACGCCACGACAAUCGGUGGUUGCGAAACCUCGGUUGCCCGUCGUGUGCGGUCGUCGCGCAUCGAGGGCUCGAAAAAAUUGCCGGGCUCCGGCUCGGCUUUCAACGCGACCCCAGGUCAGGCGGGGUUACCCGCUGAAUUUAAGCAUAUAAUAAGCGGAGGA